AGCGAACGUUAGCGGCGGGCCUAACACAUGCAAGUCGAACGCGAAAGGUCUUCGGACUGAGUAGAGUGGCGCACGGGUGAGUAACACGUAGGUAAUCUACCCUUUGGCGGGGGAUAACGUUCCGAAAGGAGCGCUAAUACCGCAUAAGACCACGGAGUCUCCGGACGCUGUGGGAAAAGGUGGCCUCUUCUUGAAAGCUACCACCGAAGGAUGAGCCUGCGUCCCAUCAGCUAGUUGGUAAGGUAAUGGCUUACCAAGGCGAAGACGGGUAGCUGGUUUGAGAGAAUGAUCAGCCACACUGGCACUGGAACACGGGCCAGACUCCUACGGGAGGCAGCAGUGAGGAAUAUUGGGCAAUGGGCGAAAGCCUGACCCAGCCAUGCCGCGUGUGUGAAGAAGG
RNAcentral lists this ribosomal RNA (400 nucleotides) under uncultured bacterium. RNAcentral describes it as "bacterial SSU rRNA". It matches the Rfam family "Bacterial small subunit ribosomal RNA", at positions 29 to 414 of the family's 1533-position model. The record is from RNAcentral.